RNAcentral lists this ribosomal RNA (473 nucleotides) under uncultured microorganism. RNAcentral's name for it is "bacterial SSU rRNA". It matches the Rfam family "Bacterial small subunit ribosomal RNA", at positions 9 to 524 of the family's 1533-position model. The record is from RNAcentral.
GAGUUUGAUCCUGGCUCAGAGCGAACGCUGGCGGCAGGCUUAACACAUGCAAGUCGAGCGGGCGUAGCAAUACGUCAGCGGCAGACGGGUGAGUAACACGUGGGAACGUACCUUUUGGUUCGGAACAACUGAGGGAAACUUCAGCUAAUACCGGAUAAGCCCUAACGGGGAAAGAUUUAUCGCCGAAAGAUCGGCCCGCGUCUGAUUAGCUAGUUGGUGAGGUAAUGGCUCACCAAGGCGACGAUCAGUAGCUGGUCUGAGAGGAUGAUCAGCCACACUGGGACUGAGACACGGCCCAGACUCCUACGGGAGGCAGCAGUGGGGAAUAUUGGACAAUGGGGGCAACCCUGAUCCAGCCAUGCCGCGUGAGUGAUGAAGGCCCUAGGGUUGUAAGCUCUUUUGUGCGGGAAGAUAAUGACGGUACCGCAAGAAUAAGCCCCGACUAACUUCGUGCCAGCAGCCGCCGCGGUAAC